Molecule: long non-coding RNA, 255 nt
Organism: Bos taurus (domestic cattle)
Lineage: Eukaryota; Metazoa; Chordata; Mammalia; Artiodactyla; Bovidae
Source: Ensembl
GCAUUUUGGAGAUGGACACUGCAUGAGGGUGUCUAAAAACUUACCAAUCCCAAAGAACAGCAAUGCCAAAGAAUGUUCAGACUACUGCACAAUUACAUUCAUCUCACAUACUAGUAAAGUAAUGCUCAAAAUUUUCCAAGCCAGGCUUCAGUAGAAUGUGAACCAUGAACUUCCAGAUGUUCAAGCUGGUUUUAGAAAAGGCAGAGGAACCAGAGAUCAAAUUGCCAACAUCUAUUGGAUCAUCGAAAAAGCAAG